UCGGUGUGGACGUCUAAUGAGAGGGGAGUAAGCAAACAUGGCGACACAGGCCAGCCUUUGUCUGCUGAUGAUACUGGUCCUGGUGCUGCUGCUGGUGACCAUGUGGGCCAGCGAUAAUGAGACCGCAUGACUGAUUUUUUUGGGGGGUUCACGUGAGAACCCUGCGGGCUGGCUGGGAUUGUCAGGAUCCGAGGCCAUAAGCGGGAGGCGGAGAGAAGAGGGGAAGACACACGCGAGGGAGAAGGAAGCGGCUGGUGACAUUGCCCAUAGCAAAUAUAUCAAAAUAAAAGACUUGUUAAAUC
This is a long non-coding RNA of Nerophis ophidion (straightnose pipefish), 302 nucleotides long. RefSeq lists it as uncharacterized. The record is from RefSeq and is a predicted model, not a curated record. NCBI's taxonomy places the organism in Eukaryota, Metazoa, Chordata, Actinopteri, Syngnathiformes, Syngnathidae. The transcript is spliced from 2 exons.